Molecule: long non-coding RNA, 544 nt
Filed under: Elaeis guineensis (African oil palm)
Lineage: Eukaryota; Viridiplantae; Streptophyta; Magnoliopsida; Arecales; Arecaceae
Description: long non-coding RNA (EGUI_LNC066144)
Source: RNAcentral
CCUACGGCUCUAGUUGAGGUGGUGGCUGCGAAGCCGCAGUCAAAAUAGGAUUCUGUGGGAGUGCCAUUGCAGAAGGCAUAGGCGGCACCAUUGAGGAAACUGUAUGAUGCACCAUUAUAGGGGGUGCAGGGACAAUCUGAGGAGACUGUGGCACUACCUGAAAGGGUGCGAGAAAGGUCUAGACCGCUUGAACUGCAGUCGUCAAAUGUUGAACUUGCUAGAAGAGUUGACCGAAUUGAUUGAUUGUGACUAACAUCGACAGGACUGGUUGAACUGAUGAAGGGACGAUCGAUUGAACCGAUGGAGAGAUUUUCGAUGUCAAUGGUUGAACUUGAUUGUCAGUCUGGCUGGUCGUCUGUCGAAAAAUGGCAGCAUUAGAAAGCCUAAAAGAUGUCCGUCUUGGAGCCAUAAAUACGAAUGUAGGCCUUUUCUCUAUCUAUUACUGUUUAAAUCGAUUAGAGUCGGAAGACGGACAUCUAAAAAUCUCGAAUGGCGAUGCUGAUAUUAGAGUCACCUUCAAAACAAGUCCCAAACUGGAGGUUGU